Molecule: non-coding RNA, 73 nt
Organism: Danio rerio (zebrafish)
Lineage: Eukaryota; Metazoa; Chordata; Actinopteri; Cypriniformes; Danionidae
Source: Rfam
GCCCGGCUACCUCAGUCGGUAGAGCAUGAGACUCUUAAUGUCAGGGUCGUAAGUUCGAGCCCCACGUUGGGCG